CGUAAUACAAUGGCGUAUACAAAGGGAUGCGAAAGGGCGACCUGGAGCAAAACUCACAAAGUACGUACUCAGUUCAGAUUGGAGUCUGCAACUCGACUCCAUGAAGGCGGAAUCGCUAGUAAUCGCGGAUCAGCAUGCCGCGGUGAAUACCGGUUCUCGGGGUUU
RNAcentral lists this ribosomal RNA (165 nucleotides) under uncultured Erysipelothrix sp. Its description in RNAcentral is "partial 16S ribosomal RNA". It matches the Rfam family "Bacterial small subunit ribosomal RNA", at positions 1221 to 1382 of the family's 1533-position model. Lineage: Bacteria; Bacillati; Bacillota; Erysipelotrichia; Erysipelotrichales; Erysipelotrichaceae. The record is from RNAcentral.